This 568-nucleotide small RNA is filed under the name Pongo abelii (Sumatran orangutan). RNAcentral describes it as "processed transcript". Lineage: Eukaryota; Metazoa; Chordata; Mammalia; Primates; Hominidae. The record is from RNAcentral.
AUGAUCAUGGUUGGGCUUUCCGGUGACCAGCCCUCAUCUAGGAGCCGGGCAAGAAUUGCCUUGGUAGAACAAAGGCCUGCUCCUAUCACUCAGGAAAGUCCACGGGAUUUAAGAGCUCCAUGUCAGGAACGAGAGCAAAGACCAAACAUUAGAACCAAAGAUUCUCCUAGCACCCCUGUAACUCAGGAAAUUACAAGGGUGUUGGGAGCUCUAGGCCAGAGACUAGAGGCAGAGACCAUAUAUAUAUUUCUUAUUUCACAACAGGAAAGGAGAGAAGGUCUCUGAGGAAGUGACAUUCCAGUUGAGACGUGAAGGAUAAGUAAAAACCAAGCAGAAGAAUUGGAAGAGGAAAGGGAAGAGGGAAAAGCCUGUGCCAAUGCCCUGAGAUUGGAAUAUGCUUUUUGUGUUUAAGAAACUAACAGAAGAUCUUGGGGACUGAGCCAGAGAGAAGACCAGGCUCCAGGAACAAGAUACUGUCCAGAAAUGGUUUAUUCAUAGCAACUUCAAGGAGAAGCACAUCUCUGGCUGCCCUCAGUACACUAAGAGAAUCAGACCCCAGAGGUGGCUG